UAUAUAUAUCGGUAUUGGAACAAUAAAUCUUGAAGCAGUUAUUAAUGAUGGCAUUUAAAACAAAUUUUAUCAGGAUGUUUGUAUUGUUAUUUUUGGUUUUAACAAUAGUUACAGUAACCCAACCAGCUGCCGUCGAACCACCACUAGGAUAUCCGGUCGUAACCCCGCCUCCAGCUGUCA
Molecule: long non-coding RNA, 180 nt
Organism: Adelges cooleyi (spruce gall adelgid)
Lineage: Eukaryota; Metazoa; Arthropoda; Insecta; Hemiptera; Adelgidae
Exons: 4
Source: RefSeq, a predicted model, not a curated record